GACAGAGGGUGCAAGCGUUGUUCGGAAUUAUUGGGCGUAAAGGGCGCGUAGGCGGCGGCGUAAGUCGGGUGUGAAAGCCCGGGGCUUAACCCCGGAAGUGCGCCCGAUACUGCGUCGCUUGAGUCCCGGAGAGGGUGGUGGAAUUCCCAGUGUAGAGGUGAAAUUCGUAGAUAUUGGGAGGAAUACCGGUGGCGAAGGCGACCACCUGGACGGAGACUGACGCUGAGGCGCGAAAGCGUGGGGAG
Molecule: ribosomal RNA, 245 nt
Filed under: uncultured bacterium
Lineage: Bacteria
Description: partial 16S ribosomal RNA
Rfam family: Bacterial small subunit ribosomal RNA
Source: RNAcentral